Molecule: long non-coding RNA, 867 nt
Organism: Neopsephotus bourkii (Bourke's parrot)
Lineage: Eukaryota; Metazoa; Chordata; Aves; Psittaciformes; Psittacidae
Exons: 3
Source: RefSeq, a predicted model, not a curated record
AGCACCUGAAACAGCAUAAAGCAGACAAACCCCAUUUCCUGCCUGUCGAAGGUAUAAUUGAAAAAAAAAUCCUGGCAUUCUUUCUGUUCUUAUGAAAACCUUCUAUUUUCAGUUCCUAGCCAGGCAUAUGUGAAUUGUGCAGUGACUCAAGAAGAUGCUACAGCACUUUGCCUCAGCAGGCUAAAAGCCUUUUGCAAUGGUUAUGGUCCCAUAGCUCCCAACUCCCAGAUUUUAGCAUGUCCUUCAAGCUGGUGCUUCUUCCCUAGGAAGUGCAGAACUUCAGGUGUCCAGCUGUUUAAAAUCUGUCAGCAAAUAGUGAAACUGACAACUUGGCAAUUGGACUAGGUGAUCGUUGUAGGUCCCUUCCAAAUGAAUUUUGCUGUUAUUCUGCUCUAACUUUUUUUCUAACUUUGCUGUUGAAAAUCUGCCUUUAGAAGUGAAAUUUCAUUGAAUUUCCAAGUGUCAAAUUCUUUGAAGUUCACUUUAUAAAUCACAUUUUGGAAUUCUCAUUUAAGUUUUUUGUUAUUUUACAAGGCUCUGAUUUCUUGCAGCAGCGUUCUUGGAUGGAUAUUCACAGAACAUGGCAACUGCUCAUGCUUUUGUUAGAAAGUUGCAUUUAUUCUCUGUCAGUGACUGCUCGGCUCCUAACAGUGCCUCUCAAAGGUAGAGCAGAGUGUUCUGUGGAUUCAGACUGGGGAUCUUCAGCCCAGCCUAGCAGUGACCUCACCUUUCUGAGCUUCAGGUAUCUUCCAAAACUGAUGCCUUAAACUGUUCAAUGGCAUUCACCACAUGGGUUUGUGAUACCAGCCAGUCAGUUUCCAGCACUGCUUGGUAACUUCCACUGUGGGGCCGCACCUCGUCUUGCCG